CCUACGGGUGGCUGCAGUGAGGAAUAUUGGUCAAUGGGCGCGAGCCUGAACCAGCCAAGUCGCGUGAGGGAUGACUGCCCUACGGGUUGUAAACUUCUUUUAUCAAGUGAUAAAGUGUGGCACGUGUGCCCUUUUGUAUGUACUUUAUGAAUAAGGAUCUGCUCACUCCGUGCCAUCAGCCGCGGUAAGACGGAGGAUCCGAGCGUUAUCCGGAUUUAUUGGGGUGAAAGGGUGCGUAGUUGGGUUGUUAAGUCAGUUGUGAAAGUUUGCGGCUCAACCGUAAAAUGGCACUUGAUACUGGCAGUCUUGAGUAUGGGAGAGGGAGGCGGAAUGCGUGGUGUAGCGGUGAAAUGCUUAGAUAUCACGAAGAACACCGAUUGCGAAGGCAGCGUACUAGACUAAGACUGACACUGAGGCACGAAAGUGUGGGGAUCAAACAGGAUUAGAUACCCCUGUAGUC
This 460-nucleotide ribosomal RNA is filed under the name uncultured bacterium. RNAcentral describes it as "partial 16S ribosomal RNA". It matches the Rfam family "Bacterial small subunit ribosomal RNA", at positions 338 to 795 of the family's 1533-position model. The record is from RNAcentral.